Ahaetulla prasina is the source of this 4407-nucleotide long non-coding RNA. RefSeq lists it as uncharacterized. The record is from RefSeq and is a predicted model, not a curated record. NCBI's taxonomy places the organism in Eukaryota, Metazoa, Chordata, Lepidosauria, Squamata, Colubridae. The transcript is spliced from 4 exons.
CCAAGGCAGCAGAUGGUCCACGCACCAAUCCCUCCAGCGUGAAAACAUUUCUGUACUUGUCAGGACCUUAAACUGCACCCUGUUCUAUUUGAUUAUUUUCAAAGUCUGAGCUGGCCACAGGGGCUCAGAUGAGAAAGAUUUGCAAAUCAGGAGGGAAAGAUAAAAGCAGAAAUGAAGGCAUUUCCAACUGCAUUGGAAAGAAAAACCUAUGGAAAAGCUUAAUGGUUCUCUUCGAUUAACCUGGGCAAAGGUUGGAGGGAAAACAUACUGCCUUCUGUGAUUCCAAUUAUGAAUGUUUAAUAAGCUCACUUUUGAAGAACACUUUGCAUAGGAGAAGUGGCUGGUGUUGCAUUACAGGAGAAAUAGAUGCAAAUGUGGAAAAGACUUUGAGAAAAUCUAUGACAACUUGCAAGAGAUAAUAAAUGCAACAUCUGGACCUGAUGGGCUGCUGCUAAUAGAACUAUUCCUUUGUGCCCCAUGAUUAUUUUCAAAGUACCAAAAUGCAGGCCUGAUCUAGAGGGACAUGCAGAAGAAAUAGCUGAACUUGGAAGAGAAAGUUAAGUAGCCUAUAUAUUUAUUUUAAAGUUAUUCUAUGGUGAUUUUAAAAAAUAUUUUGGAGCCUUUUUUAGUGUCGGGAAACAAUCCUUCCUGCCUAUAGGUGCCAAUGAUUUCCCAUAACCCUGAGGAGAAUCUUAUAGUGGCUGAUGUCAGUAAAGAUGAUCAAGAGUUGGAUAAACAGAUAAGAAGCUUCAUAUCUCUACCCAACCUUCUGAUAUCAACAAGAUCUCCAUUUUUCAACAAGCAGCCUAGUGGGAAUAACUAAAUUUCAAAGGAAUGUAUUACUUCUAGGGACGGUGGCACCAUUUUGCCUACCUCAUAAGCCAUUUUUUAAUGUUGACACCCAUAGCACUUGCUAUUACUAGUCACAUUUUGAGGCUGCCCAACUUCUUGACGACUGUGGGGGCUUACAUUUCAAAGAAAACAACACAUAUAAAAAAAUCAUGUCCAAUUGGGAGAACAGUGGAGGAGAAGGAAGACAGCCAAAUUUUAUUCCUGUUCUGUCUGCAUAUGUCCCAGGUAAUAGUCUCUGCAGAGGCUGUAAAACUCUCAAUGGAAAAAAAAGGGGCUCUUUCAACAGCGUCCGCAUAAGCAGUAUCUGCAAUGAUAGCAACGACAAUAUUCAAGGAUAUUAACCGCACAAAAAUUGCAAUUAUGUAAUGAAUGAUACAAGUAGAUAUGUCAAAUUAUAUUAUGGUAUGAUGUCAACACGUACAUUUUAUCCCAUGUUUAUUCCAUGGAGACUCAUGUGCCCAUUCUUGUUCUAAAUAUGCAGAAUACAAUCUUGCUAGCUGUUGUGACUCGUCCUUCCUCCUCUCCUCAGCCGGGCCCCUCCCAUCGCCAACCGGGCCUGUUAUCAGACUCUGAGUCUGAUAAUGAAGAUGAACGGCCUGUCAUGCCUCCAGCCCCCGGCCCUGGCCCCAUGCCCGGAGAGGAUUCCAGGAGUGAACAAACAAGCCCGAUAAACCUCACUCCAUACGGCCGUAUGGAAUUGCUUGGGCCUACUCCUUCUGACCCCUCCCUUUCCCAAACAGCAGAAGACAAUUCAAAGUGGGAGGAUCCUCGCUUCCGGAGAUCUGAGAGGCGACGCCAGCAGAAGGAAGGGAGGGGCAAGCCUGGAUAAAUGCUGAGUCAUGGAGCCACACCCCAGCCUAUAUAAAGGACCUGCUUUUGGCAUUCCAACCUUGAGUCAAGCAAAGUCUUAUUGAGUUUGCUGAUACCGGACCCUAUCGCUGAAGUCACAACUUGGACUCCUGCCUGCCCUGAUAAACCUCGAAGGGACUUCACAAGCUGCAGAGGCUUCGUUGCCAAGUUUGCCACGGACUUCCUUGACUCGUUCGUCAGAGUGGGGGGUGGGACACGACACUAGCAUUAUAUUAUCAUUGCAGUAAAAUACUGAGCUUUGUUUAGAAGACAGUGCAGAUCCUGAGACACCACUAAGCCCCUGCAACUGACAGCUCAAUGCUGUAGGUGAUAAAUGUUUGUACUCUGUGAAUUCCAGCCUUCAAUAUCCUAUAGAGAUCAUUUUUCUAGAGCAACUGGAGAGUGAGGAACUGAGAAGUUUAUGAACACGGAUCCCAUACAGACUUUACUUCGGCAUAUAAGAGUGCCAAAAAUCCUUAGAAAAUGUGCUUAUUUGAUGCCACUUCAGUUCAAAUCAAUAGAAUUUUAAAAUAUUUUAUCAAUGUCCUACAAUGUAGAAUAACCCCACGUAAUUACUGAGAAUUUACAUUUGUGAUGUUCAGUUGAUAAUAAAUCAAGAGAAUUCCUCAGCUUUAUGACCUUAACCUUUAAGUCACUAACCUCUCUCUCAAGCCAAUUUGCUCUUUUUCUGAACUUUGCAAAACUUUUGCAUUAACCUUCUAGUAUAUCCUUCCUCUUACAGAGCUAUUUGGUUAAUUUCUUUCAUCACUCUGAACUUUUUCUGGGGCCUUUGCCACUGGGGAACAAUAAAUUGCAGAUUAGUUACCCAAUUGCAGGUCCUCUGCAAUCACCAGUGGAGGUGUGUGCUUAUUUUCCCCUGCUGAAUCAAAUAACCAGACUUCCUGCUCUGUAAAAAUACAGACUAUGUUAUGAUGGGAGACCAUUCUGUGCACAAUCUUUUUGGCCAAAACAAAAUAAAAACUUUACAUUGAGUAUUAUACCUAGGAAACAGCUUUCUUCCCAUCCCAUUCAUUUAAUUGUAAAUGCAAUCAAAAGAGUAAUGAUUCUUGAUGGUAAUAUUUCUGUCAGAUAGUUUUUCCAGUUGACAAAGUGGAAAAUUUGCUUUUUCAAUUAUGUUACAGACUGAAGUGGCCAGCUAUAACUUCUACUUCCCAAAGUAUUACAUUUGUCAAUUAAUGAAACAGGAAUUCAUUAUUUGUUUGUUUGUUCCAUUUUUAGAACACCCCUUCAUCAGCACAAAGUACAACAAAUAGCAAGUAUUUUAUUAGCAUAUGUCAGAAAGCACCAAUUGACCACAAGGGCAAGUAAAUUAUGGAAAUGCAACUAGUGCAAAAAGAUUGAACAUCUUGAGAUACCGGUAUUAAAAAGCAAUUGUCAAAGGCAACGGGAGUUCAAUCCUUUAUAGGAGAGAUUUUUAAGCUGUGGAUUGUCACCUCCACAAGCAUCAUUAGCAACUAUGAAGAAGGUUGAAUUUCUUUUAAUUGCUCCAGGCAUGAUAAUUUUGCUCAGACUUUUGAAUAUUAGUAAGUUUAUAAACUGGUUCCCUCUUGCCUUUUUUCCCCCUCUAAUAAGCCACCAACCAUUCUGCAUCUUUUGAAUUAUUUUUAUGUUACAGAAACUUAUUUUGAAAUGAACUUUUAAAAAGUGUUUCAUAUCUCUUUAUUAUGGUUUAAUGAUGAAUGAUUAUGGUUCAAAAUCUACCGGUAUUUCAAAAUAUUGAUAAAAGUAUUUGUAAUUUGCUUGGAUGACGGUGUAAUGUAUUUGGUGAGUUGGGAUUUCAAUACAGAAAUGUAUUUAUUUGUAUCCCACCAUUAUUAUUUUUACAAAUAGCUCCAAGUGGUGAAUCUCUUCCUCUUAUUUUUUCCACAACAACAAUCCUGUGAGGUGGGCUGGGCUGAGAGAGAGAAUGAUUGGUCCAAGGUUAGCCAGAUGGUUUUCAUGACUAAGGCAGAAUUUGAACUCAUGGUUUCCAGCUUUCUAGCCUCAUACUUUAACCAUCCACUUAACCAUUGCAUAAAACUGGUUCUGUAUGGGUGACAGAUUCAUUUUUGAAGCAAGAAACAACUUUGUUCACAUGGUACACUAUUAUCUGAUAGUGCCAACCAUUAAGAUUGUUCACCAUUUUUUGAGUUCAUCUUAUGUAAAUACUUUUGUUUCUCCAUCAAUGUGGAAUACAGUAAUAGAUUUGUACUUUUUGGAUUGUCUGUAGAAAUACACACCUUAGCGAAGUUCAAUGUUUUAAAUUGUAUACCAAUUCUGUCAUUCUAUUUAUUUAGUAUGCCCAUAACAAUUCAUUAUUAAAUGUAAAUGGUUUACUUAUGUCUUGUCCAAUCUUAUCCUGAUGAAAUUAUUACUUGGAGAAAAGUGGUCAUGGUUUGGUAAAAUUUGAGAAUUCAUUUUAUACUUAGUUUGGCAAUUUUCUUGUUCUUGACAUAUCAGGUUCACCCUCAUCUAUUUAUUUGUCUCUUGUGUGUACAGAUGGUCUUGGUUCUUAUAAUUCUUGGAAGCUCAGAAUUCAUAUAUGUUGUUCUAGAAUAAGAAUGUCUGAUCUGAGUUUUUGUAAAGUAUAAUUUCAAUUUUGUUCUUCUAUACCAUGGGUGUCAAACUCAAGGCCUAGGGGCUGGAUCAGGCCCAUGGGGUGCUUAGAUCUGGCCUAGAAACAAUGAAGGACCGGUCCAUGGUGCC